RNAcentral lists this long non-coding RNA (296 nucleotides) under Ananas comosus (pineapple). RNAcentral's name for it is "long non-coding RNA (ACOM_LNC000825)". The record is from RNAcentral. Lineage: Eukaryota; Viridiplantae; Streptophyta; Magnoliopsida; Poales; Bromeliaceae.
AAUCUGAUUGUGAUUUAAAUCUAACUAAUUUUGUGAUAAAAUUAAAUAAACCAACUUACAGAUGAUCGCUAAUAUUCCAAUAAAGAUUUGAUCGAUCCGGAAGCGUGCGAAGCACUGCCCUAAGGCGUAUUUCCGUCCUUACGUGCGGGAUUAACCGGAAAUAACACCCCAAAGUACGACCGGAAUUUCUUCUCCUGCAAGCACGAUCGUGAAGAAGGUUGACAGAGACUCUUUCAACACUCGAUGAUAAAAGAUCAAAUAAAUUAAAAUUAAAAGAAGAAAAAUUCCUCUCUCUG